UUUUAAUGUUGAUGUGGAUGAAUGUUGGAUGAUCCAUAGCCCUCGAUCUACGAUGUGACGAUGUGAUAUGUACGGUACGGAAUGUAAGACCAGUGGGACCCAUUCUACGUUCGCUGGCACUAUGUAAGGGAAAGACCAGGACCAUUCUACGUUCUGGCACAGUUGGACACUGUUAUGUUAUGAUAUGUUAUAUAAGGGAAAGACCAGGACCCAUUCUACGUUCUGGCACAGUUGGACCAUGUAGAGGGCUAUUGGUGACAAGUUCAUCCUUGAUUGUGAUUAGCUGUGAUGUGAUGCAUUCCAUGAUCCAUAUGAUUUAAAUGUUUUUAUCAUUCUGCUCACUGGGCUCUAGUAGCUCACCCCUCUCCCAAUUUCCCCAGGAUUGCAGGUACAGGGUAGACCAGGAGGUUUACAAGAGUAUUGAAGUUUCGUAUUUGUAAUAGAUAGUGUGGACAUGAUAAAUGUAUUAAUGUUAUGUAAAAGUAC
RNAcentral lists this long non-coding RNA (486 nucleotides) under Manihot esculenta (cassava). RNAcentral describes it as "long non-coding RNA (MESC_LNC000298)". The record is from RNAcentral. Lineage: Eukaryota; Viridiplantae; Streptophyta; Magnoliopsida; Malpighiales; Euphorbiaceae.